Bos indicus x Bos taurus (hybrid cattle) is the source of this 644-nucleotide long non-coding RNA. Lineage: Eukaryota; Metazoa; Chordata; Mammalia; Artiodactyla; Bovidae. The record is from Ensembl.
GAAAGAUCUUGAAGAAUGCACAUUAAGAAGCUUAGUUCCAAGUAACAAAGCUACUAUGUGGAAAUUAGAUCUGGAGUUUUCCUGGAAGUGCUCCAGUGGGAAGAUUACACUGACCUACAUUGUUACUCGUCUGAACAAUUGAUGGGGCUCCUCCAUGACCCUGGCUCCUGCUGGACAUCGGGACUCACGCUCCUCCCACACCACUGCUGCAAGAAGAAACAAAUUGGAAAAACAGAAGACACAGUGUUUGCCCAAUCAAAAGGGAGCUCUCUAGGAUGAAGACAAACACUUGGAAUGAAAGAACAAUGAGAAAACUUUGUGCCUGGGCUUAGAAACUGCCAUAAAAGAAGUACAGUCACUUCUCACCUACCACCUGGAAUCACUUUAUUAGUGCCUAAGAAUUUGGAAAAAUCUGAACUUGUGUUGCACUGGUAAUCUCUAAGAUAUGCUUUACUAUUUACCUAAAUACUUGAUUCUUUUUUCUUGGAUAUUGUUCAUAAGUCUUCCUUAGAUUAUAUGUUCUUUCAGUCCAAGAAUGAUUUUAUUGCUUUUUUUUUCUAUACCCUCCCAUUUCUCCAGAGUGUUGCUGAGCAUAUGAAAUAAGUUUUAAAGAUUAUUUACUUUCAGUGGAUCAUAGAAAGGUG